Molecule: ribosomal RNA, 423 nt
Filed under: uncultured bacterium
Lineage: Bacteria
Description: bacterial SSU rRNA
Rfam family: Bacterial small subunit ribosomal RNA
Source: RNAcentral
AAGACCUUGCACUUUUGGAGCGGCCGAUGUCUGAUUAGCUAGUUGGUGGGGUAAUGGCCUACCAAAGCUUCGAUCAGUAGCUGGUCUGAGAGGACGGCCAGCCACACUGGGACUGAGACACGGCCCAGACUCCUACGGGAGGCAGCAGUGGGGAAUUUUGGACAAUGGGCGCAAGCCUGAUCCAGCCAUGCCGCGUGAGUGAAGAAGGCCUUCGGGUUGUAAAGCUCUUUCAGCCGGGAAGAAAAGGCUGCGACUAAUAAUCGCAGUUCAUGACGGUACCGGAAGAAGAAGCACCGGCUAACUACGUGCCAGCAGCCGCGGUAAUACGUAGGGUGCGAGCGCUAAUCGGAAUUACUGGGCGUAAAGGGUGCGCAGGCGGUUUUGUAAGUCAGAUGUGAAAUCCCCGGGCUUAACCUGGGAACU